AUACAGAGGGUGCGAGCGUUAAGCGGAAUUACUGGGCGUAAAGCGCGCGUAGGCGGCUACUUAAGUCAGAUGUGAAAUCCCCGGGCUCAACCUGGGAACUGCAUCUGAUACUGGGUAGCUAGAGUUUAGGAGAGGGAAGUAGAAUUUCAGGUGUAGCGGUGAAAUGCAUAGAGAUCUGAAGGAAUACCAGUGGCGAAGGCGGCUUCCUGGCCUAAAACUGACGCUGAGGUGCGAAAGCGUGGGUAGCAAACGGGAUUAGAAACCCCGGUAGUCC
Molecule: ribosomal RNA, 274 nt
Filed under: uncultured bacterium
Lineage: Bacteria
Description: partial 16S ribosomal RNA
Rfam family: Bacterial small subunit ribosomal RNA
Source: RNAcentral